RNAcentral lists this ribosomal RNA (827 nucleotides) under uncultured bacterium. Its description in RNAcentral is "bacterial SSU rRNA". It matches the Rfam family "Bacterial small subunit ribosomal RNA", at positions 8 to 814 of the family's 1533-position model. The record is from RNAcentral.
AGAGUUUGAUCCUGGCUCAGAUUGAACGCUGGCGGCGUGCUUAACACAUGCAAGUCGAACGCGAAAGGGGGCUUCGGCUCCCGAGUAGAGUGGCGCACGGGUGAGUAACGCGUGGAUAAUCUGCCCUCUUGUUCGGGAUAACUGCUGGAAACGGCAGCUAAUACCGGAUAAGCUCCCCCAAUUGUUUGGUGGAGGAAAGGAGGCCUCUUCAUGAAAGCUUCCGCGAGGGGAUGAGUCCGCGUCCCAUUAGCUAGUUGGUGAGGUAACGGCCCACCAAGGCAACGAUGGGUAGCCGGUCUAAGAGGAUAACCGGCCACACUGGAACUGAAACACGGUCCAGACUCCUACGGGAGGCAGCAGUGGGGAAUAUUGCGCAAUGGACGAAAGUCUGACGCAGCGACGCCGCGUGAGGGAUGAAGGUUUUCGGAUCGUAAACCUCUGUCAGGAGGGAAGAAAGCGCAUGGCGCCAAUCAGCCAUGCGUUGACGGUACCUCCAAAGGAAGCGCCGGCUAACUCCGUGCCAGCAGCCGCGGUAAUACGGAGGGCGCGAGCGUUAAUCGGAAUUACUGGGCGUAAAGCGCGCGUAGGCUGUUGUGUAGGUUGGGGGUGAAAUCCCACGGCUCAACCGUGGAACAGCCCUUGAUACUGCGCGACUUGAAUCCGGGAGAGGGUGGCGGAAUUCCAGGUGUAGGAGUGAAAUCCGUAGAUAUCUGGAGGAACAUCAGUGGCGAAGGCGGCCACCUGGACCGGUAUUGACGCUGAGGCGCGAAAGCGUGGGGAGCAAACAGGAUUAGAUACCCUGGUAGUCCACGCUGUAAACGAUGGAU